CUUGCAUUACCUUGAAAAAAAUAACAGGCCAACAGCUGCUUUUCAACUGCAACAGUGAGGGCCCAAAUACAGAGGACUGAUGUGUCCAAAAUGUUGAGAGAGGAAAAGUACGAACAUAUCCAAGGAGAAUAAAGACAUUUCCAGACAAAAUGAAACAGAGAAUUCGUCACCAGCACAUCGGCAGUCGAAGGAACACUAAAGGGUGAACUUGAGGCAAAAAGGAAGACGAUGCCGGAUGAAAGGCUGGAAAUGCGGGAAGAAUUCAAGGGAUGACCUCAAAUACGGGGAGAAGAGGACUGGAGAGAAAAGGAGCGGCAAAGAAGAGGAAACCGGACCUUGGAGAAGAAGUUAGAG
This 354-nucleotide long non-coding RNA is filed under the name Mustela putorius furo (domestic ferret). RNAcentral describes it as "lncRNA (ENSMPUG00000027939.1)". The record is from RNAcentral. Lineage: Eukaryota; Metazoa; Chordata; Mammalia; Carnivora; Mustelidae.